UACGUAGGUGACCAGCGUUGUCCGGAUUUACUGGGCGUAAAGAGCGCGCAGGCGGUCGUUCAAGUCGAGUGUGAAAGCCCCCGGCUCAACUGGGGAGGGUCAUUCGAUACUGAUCGACUCGAAGGCAGGAGAGGGUAGUGGAAUUCUCGGUGUAGUGGUGAAAUGCGUAGAUAUCGGGAGGAACACCAGUGGCGAAGGCGACUACCUGGCCUGUUCUUGACGCUGAGGCGCGAAAGCUAGGGGAGCAAACGGG
Molecule: ribosomal RNA, 253 nt
Filed under: uncultured bacterium
Lineage: Bacteria
Description: partial 16S ribosomal RNA
Rfam family: Bacterial small subunit ribosomal RNA
Source: RNAcentral